GUUAACAUUGGCGCUAGAAGGAGGGGUGUGUUCUAGUGUUCUUGAAGUUUUCAAUCACAAAUUGUAGCUGCUCUACGUCGGAAUCCAUGGUGAAGAAGAGUAGAACAGUUACCUCUAAAGGAUACCUGAUGGCUAUGACUUCGUCUACACAAUGAGUAUCUGUCAAGGAUUGAUUGGGUCCUUCAAAGAAUGCUCAUGUUGGUACUGCUUCCAAGCAGGUUUCU
This 224-nucleotide long non-coding RNA is filed under the name Panax ginseng (ginseng). RNAcentral's name for it is "long non-coding RNA (PGIN_LNC015712)". Lineage: Eukaryota; Viridiplantae; Streptophyta; Magnoliopsida; Apiales; Araliaceae. The record is from RNAcentral.